GAUGAAGAACGUAGCGAAAUGCGAUAAGUAAUGUGAAUUGCAGAAUUCAGUGAAUCAUCGAAUCUUUGAACGCACAUUGCGCCCGCCAGUAUUCUGGCGGGCAUGCCUGUUCGAGCGUCAUUUCAACCCUCAAGCACAGCUUGGUGUUGGGACUCGCGUUAAUUCGCGUUCCUCAAAUUGAUUGGCGGUCACGUCGAGCUUCCAUAGCGUAGUAGUAAAACCCUCGUUACUGGUAAUCGUCGCGGCCACGCCGUUAAACCCCAACUUCUGAAUGUUGACCUCGGAUCAGGUAGGAAUACCCGCUGAACUUAAGCAUAUAAUAAGCGGAGGA
This 331-nucleotide unclassified non-coding RNA is filed under the name soil metagenome. RNAcentral describes it as "partial contains 5.8S ribosomal RNA, internal transcribed spacer 2, and large subunit ribosomal RNA". The stretch from base 1 to 120 matches the Rfam family "5.8S ribosomal RNA", at positions 35 to 154 of the family's 154-position model. The record is from RNAcentral.